UAGAACGUUUUUACAACGGUCCGUGUCUC
This 29-nucleotide small RNA is filed under the name Bombyx mori (domestic silkworm). RNAcentral describes it as "ovarian small RNA-3015". Lineage: Eukaryota; Metazoa; Arthropoda; Insecta; Lepidoptera; Bombycidae. The record is from RNAcentral.